AUGUAUGUCUACGAAUGUCAUUUAAUGGGCCUUGUGCCUAUAAACCAUAAUACAACUUUCAACAACGGAUCUCUUGGCUCUCCCAUCGAUGAAGAACGCAGCGAAAUGCGAUAAGUAAUGUGAAUUGCAGAAUUCAGUGAAUCAUCGAAUCUUUGAACGCACCUUGCGCCCCUUGGUAUUCCGAGGGGCAUGCCUGUUUGAGUGUCAUUAAAUUCUCAAACUCACAUUGGUUUUUUCUAUUUGUGAUGUUUGGAUUGUUGGGGGUUGCUGGCUGUAACACGUCGGCUCCUCUUAAAUGCAUUAGCAGGACUUCUCAUUGCCUCUGCGCAUGAUGUGAUAAUUCUCACUCAUCAAUAGCACGCAUGAAUAGAGUCCAGCUCUCUAAUCGUCCGCAAGGACAAUUUUUCUGACAAUUUGACCUCAAAUCAGGUAGGACUACCCGCUGAACUUAAGCUUAUCAAUAAGCGGAGGAAAAGAAACUAACAAGGAUUCCCCUAGUAACUGCGAGUGAAGCGGGAAAAGCUCAAAUUUAAAAUCUGGUGGUCUUUGGCCAUCCGAGUUGUAAUCUAGAGAAGUGUUAUCCGCGCUGGACCGUGUACAAGUCCCCUGGAAUGGGGCGUCAUAGAGGGUGAGAAUCCCGUCUUUGACACGGACUACCAGGGCUUUGUGAUGCACUCUCAAAGAGUCGAGUUGUUUGGGAAUGCAGCUCAAAAUGGGUGGUAAAUUCCAUCUAAAGCUAAAUAUUGGCGAGAGACCGAUAGCGAACAAGUACCGUGAGGGAAAGAU
Molecule: ribosomal RNA, 786 nt
Filed under: Pleurotus sp. SPP1
Lineage: Eukaryota; Fungi; Basidiomycota; Agaricomycetes; Agaricales; Pleurotaceae
Description: eukaryotic LSU rRNA
Rfam family: Eukaryotic large subunit ribosomal RNA (bases 416-786)
Source: RNAcentral